CUGCCGUCUGAUCAGUGGCGACGGGUGAGUAACACGUGAGUAACCUGCCCCUCACUCUGGGAUAACCUCGGGAAAUCGUGGCUAAUACCGGAUAUGAGUUUCCACCGCAUGGUGGUUUCUGGAAAGUUUUUCGGUGAGGGAUGGACUCGCGGCCUAUCAGUUUGUUGGUGAGGUAAUGGCUCACCAAGGCGAUGACGGGUAGCCGGCCUGAGAGGGCGACCGGCCACACUGGGACUGAGACACGGCCCAGACUCCUACGGGAGGCAGCAGUGGGGAAUAUUGCACAAUGGG
Molecule: ribosomal RNA, 291 nt
Filed under: Brachybacterium nesterenkovii
Lineage: Bacteria; Bacillati; Actinomycetota; Actinomycetes; Micrococcales; Dermabacteraceae
Description: partial 16S ribosomal RNA
Rfam family: Bacterial small subunit ribosomal RNA
Source: RNAcentral